AGAUGUUGACCGUAGAGUGACUGCAAAUUUAGAGGAAGUACUCCGCCGGUUUUCUGGUACCAGGGUGCAACAGGAGCACACACAGGGACCAGGGCGUUUGGCAUACCGAGGGGAGUUCUGGAACAUCACGUUCUUUGUGGAUUACCAGCCUGUCAAAUUGCAGCGAUGCUCGGAGUGUCGAGCGCUUUUCCUUUAGGACCUACUCGGCGCGGCACGGCUCCGCUCGUCUUUGUUUAGCCGCGAUUCCACAAGCAUCUACUCGGCACGGUACGGCUCGUCUCAUCUUUGUUUGCGAGCGUUUCCAUACGGACUAAUUUUCAGCACCUUCUCGGCUGAGGUUCCCAGCGAGCUGAGAUGAGCCGAUAAUGUGGCGUUUACAUAGUGCAGCCCACUGAUAGGGCAGGGAGUGACGACACAGAGCAACUUCAGCACGAAAACAAAAUCCUGCAUUAAAAAACGACUGUAAACAGCGACGGUGUGCAUUGCUCUUCACGAAACUCUCUGUUCUUCAUAAUUUUAAUGUGACAGCCAGACCUGUACCGUGGGUGAAUGAAGAGGUCGAGACUUUGUCUUUGGUGGCGGACCAAAGAAUACAGAGAGAGCUGGACGGAGAAAGUUUAUCAGGAGGUCUCUGAGCGGAUGGCCGCUCACAUAUACAGUAGACUGUAUAUAAAGAGGACAGAAGCAGUGUAGGGAGAAGCUGAAAAAGCUCAAAAGUGACUAUCGGUCCACCCAGGACCACAACGGCCGGCGUGGGUCAACCAGGAGGUGUUGGAAGAGGUUUAAUGGAAGCUAUUUACUGGCACCGCACCGGCGAGCAACAGGAGGGAGACUCAGCUGCUGCAUUAUUGGAGACGUUCGAGGACGAAUCCCUUUCCACAUGCGAAGCCUACUCCACCUCCGUCGCGGAGCCCCCGGCUGCCCUGUCUCCUCUCCAGCACCAGCUCGGACACCGACACGUCACAGCAACGUCUUAUCACCGGCAAGAGGAAAGGGGGCCACAGAAAAUUGGACCUUCCUAGCAUAUUUGUGGAGAUGCAGGCUGAGGAGGAGUGGAGUCAUGCCCAGCAUGAUGAGAACAUCUGGUUGCUCCUCAGCGAGGCAAGAGAGAAUGAAGCGGCCUUGCAGCGGGAGGAGAUGGCCCAGAAUACUGCCUUCAACCAGUCAUUCCUGGGUGUGCUGGG
Long non-coding RNA from Amphiprion ocellaris (clown anemonefish), 1184 nucleotides. Lineage: Eukaryota; Metazoa; Chordata; Actinopteri; Pomacentridae. The record is from Ensembl.